Molecule: ribosomal RNA, 433 nt
Filed under: uncultured bacterium
Lineage: Bacteria
Description: partial 16S ribosomal RNA
Rfam family: Bacterial small subunit ribosomal RNA
Source: RNAcentral
GACGAACGCUGGCGGCAUGCCUAACACAUGCAAGUCGAACGAGACCUUCGGGUCUAGUGGCGCACGGGUGCGUAACGCGUGGGAACCUGCACUUAGGUUCGGAAUACCUCCCCGAAAGGGGUGCUAAUACCGGAUAAUGUCUUCGGACCAAAGAUUUAUCGCCUUUGGAUGGGCCCGCGUUGGAUUAGCUAGUUGGUAGGGUAAAAGCCUACCAAGGCGACGAUCCAUAGCUGGUCUGAGAGGAUGGUCAGCCACACUGGGACUGAGACACGGCCCAGACUCCUACGGGAUGCAGCAGUGGGUAAUAUUGGACAAUGGGCGAAAGCCUGAUCCAGCAAUGCCGCGUGAGUGAUGAAGGCCUUAGGGUUGUAAAGCUCUUUUACCCGUGAUGAUAAUGACAGUACCGGGAGAAUAAGCUCCGGCUAACUCCGUG